GGGGAUUUGGCUCAGUGGUAGAGCGCUUGCCUAGGAAGCGCAAGGCCCUGGGUUCGGUCCCCAGUCUCCA
Molecule: non-coding RNA, 70 nt
Organism: Rattus norvegicus (Norway rat)
Lineage: Eukaryota; Metazoa; Chordata; Mammalia; Rodentia; Muridae
Source: Rfam